This is a long non-coding RNA of Zingiber officinale, 834 nucleotides long. RefSeq lists it as uncharacterized. The transcript is spliced from 3 exons. The record is from RefSeq and is a predicted model, not a curated record. NCBI's taxonomy places the organism in Eukaryota, Viridiplantae, Streptophyta, Magnoliopsida, Zingiberales, Zingiberaceae.
GUUAGGCUACCCAGUUUUAAUAAGGAAAAGUUUUAUUUCCUUUUCCUUUUCUUUUUCUUUUUCUUUAUUAUUAUUUUUUUCUUCUUAACCUCGCCGCUUCUUCUUCGACGCCGUGCCCGACUUCUCCUCCUUCCCCCGCGCGCCCGACGCCCUCCUCCGAGCCCUAACCGCCGAGCGGUUUCCUACUCUUUCUCUUCCUCCAUUUCCUUCCCGAGCCACUGCCACAGCCGACACCGCACGAAGCAAUGCCGACCCAGCGCCGACGUCACCCUUUUCCGCGUACAAGCCCUCGGCCAAGGAAACCCUAGCGCCGGCAACCAUUCCCCCUCUGCCCUAUCGCCGUCCUCCUUCCUUUUUCUCCGACGUCGACGACGCCGCGGGGCAGAUCACCGGCGAUUUGAGCCCCAAGAAUCACGAAGUUCUUCUCCUCUGAUUGCCACCCAAUCCCAUCCCUUCGGCGAAGCUUCAACUCCUGUGUCCUAGAUCGCCGGAAUCCAGAAGCUUGCGUUGGUCUUCGAUUAGGAGCAGCAAUCCAAGCAUUUGUGUUCCCUUCCAUGCCCUAAUUCCACUGUUGGAUCUACCUCAGUCGGUUGUGCCUCUCGAGUGGCCUGCUCUACGGUAUCACAUUCACCACCAGUCUCUGUUUUGGGUUUCUGCCAGCACAGAAGGAAAGGGGAAUUAGAUAGCAGUGGACGAUUGGCCCGAAGUUGUUGGAUUCCAGCCACCACAUCAUGGAAUAGCUGGUUAUUUUCUUGAUCACCAUUUUGAUUAGAUCAGUGACUUUGACGCGAGACGCAUAUCUUGACUACCAGUUUGGAAUUUUCGAUUUGGAGG